UAGGGAAUCUUCCACAAUGGACGAAAGUCUGAUGGAGCAACGCCGCGUGAGUGAAGAAGGGUUUCGGCUCGUAAAACUCUGUUGUUAAAGAAGAACAUAUCUGAGAGUAACUGUUCAGGUAUUGACGGUAUUUAACCAGAAAGCCAACGGCUAACUACGUGCAAG
RNAcentral lists this ribosomal RNA (165 nucleotides) under uncultured bacterium. RNAcentral describes it as "partial 16S ribosomal RNA". It matches the Rfam family "Bacterial small subunit ribosomal RNA", at positions 355 to 511 of the family's 1533-position model. The record is from RNAcentral.